GAAAUGCGAUAAGUAAUGUGAAUUGCAGAAUUCAGUGAAUCAUCGAAUCUUUGAACGCACAUUGCGCCCGCUAGUACUCUAGCGGGCAUGCCUGUUCGAGCGUCAUUUCAACCCUCAAGCCCCCGGGCUUGGUGUUGGGGCCCCACGGCCGCCGUGGGCCCCGAAAUUGAGUGGCGGGCUCGCUGCAGACUCCGAGCGUAGUAGUAACCUAUCUCGCUAGGGAGGCGUGGCGCGCUCCGGCCGUUAAAACCUUAAAACCCAAGGUUGACCUCGGAUCAGGUAGGAAUACCCGCUGAACUUAA
This 302-nucleotide unclassified non-coding RNA is filed under the name uncultured Sordariomycetes. RNAcentral describes it as "sequence contains ITS1". The stretch from base 1 to 105 matches the Rfam family "5.8S ribosomal RNA", at positions 50 to 154 of the family's 154-position model. The record is from RNAcentral. Lineage: Eukaryota; Fungi; Ascomycota; Sordariomycetes.